RNAcentral lists this ribosomal RNA (253 nucleotides) under uncultured bacterium. Its description in RNAcentral is "partial 16S ribosomal RNA". It matches the Rfam family "Bacterial small subunit ribosomal RNA", at positions 524 to 776 of the family's 1533-position model. The record is from RNAcentral.
GACGAGCCUCACAAACGUUAUUCGGAAUUACUGGGCUUAAAGGGUGCGUAGGCGGCGCGGCAAGUUGGGUGUGAAAUCCCUCGGCUCAACCGAGGAACUGCGCCCAAAACUACCGUGCUCGAGGAAGAUAGAGGUGAGCGGAACUUACGGUGGAGCGGUGAAAUGCGUUGAUAUCGUAAGGAACACCCGUGGCGAAAGCGGCUCACUGGGUCUUCUCUGACGCUGAUGCACGAAAGCUAGGGGAGCAAACGGG